RNAcentral lists this ribosomal RNA (496 nucleotides) under uncultured bacterium. Its description in RNAcentral is "partial 16S ribosomal RNA". It matches the Rfam family "Bacterial small subunit ribosomal RNA", at positions 29 to 507 of the family's 1533-position model. The record is from RNAcentral.
ACGCACGCUGGCGGCGUGCCUCAUACAUGCAAGUAGAACGCUGAAGCUUGGUGCUUGCACCGAGCGGAUGAGUUGCGAACGGGUGAGUAACGCGUAGGUAACCUGCCUGGUAGCGGGGGAUAACUAUUGGAAACGAUAGCUAAUACCGCAUAAGAGUAGAUGUUGCAUGACAUUUGCUUAAAAGGUGCAAUUGCAUCACUACCAGAUGGACCUGCGUUGUAUUAGCUAGUUGGUGAGGUAACGGCUCACCAAGGCAACGAUACAUAGCCGACCUGAGAGGGUGAUCGGCCACACUGGGACUGAGACACGGCCCAGACUCCUACGGGAGGCAGCAGUAGGGAAUCUUCGGCAAUGGACGGAAGUCUGACCGAGCAACGCCGCGUGAGUGAAGAAGGUUUUCGGAUCGUAAAGCCCUGUUGUAAGAGAAGAACGAGUGUGAGAGUGGAAAGUUCACACUGUGACGGUAUCUUACCAGAAAGGGACGGCUAACUACGUG